ACAGACUGGGAAGUAAUCCUAUAUAUAUUGGUUGUUCACCCUGUACUUAAAACCUUAAAGGUUCUCCUCAGCUCACUGACUUUUGUCACACAAUCAAAGAAAAAUGCCAGAAGAAGUUCCUGCUCAGUGCAAGGUUCCCAAAGAUGAGCUGGACAAGUGUGUUCAGGGGAAAGGAGCAGAGGGCUGUAAAGAGCUGCUGGAAGCCUUUGAGGCCUGUGUAAAGGGGGCCACAGCGGCCUCAUGAGGGGGACAUGAUUUUACAUGUCCUUCCUUUCUGGGUCCUCCAGUGUCCUUGCAUUCCCUCACAUUGUACUGGACUGAACCAUUUUAAGGACAGUGAAAGGGGUGCAAGUCCUGGAAAGCAGUGGAAUUGUUUAUUUUGAUCCCGAGAAGUCGGUGUCCCUCAUGUUGUCCAUGUUAUUUGUAACAGUGAAAGAAAGAAGAACCCAGUUUUGUUAGGUUUUUUUUCUUCAGAAUGUACGCUGUGAAAGAGCACAAUGCAUUUCAUCUGAUUUUGAAUAAAUUACUAUAAUUGUUUACUUUUUUUGCCAUUACCAUACACACACACAUUGAAUCCAAGAGAUUUUAACACAUCAAUGACCAUGACCAUUCAGAGGUCUAGCCUACAGAACUGUGAUCACUAAAUAACUGACACUAAAUGUCAUCAUAAUAAUUAACUGUAUGCAGUGAUUGAUUUACCUUUAACUGCAGUGGUCUGCAUACUUGAUAACUCCUGCCAAGAACACUGGCAGUGCUGCUCAUUUGGUUUUUGUGUGCCCUGUAGACACAACAACUGACUGUCAUCACCAUCUAUUGAAGAAAUUCUAAAGGUGUUGACAAAACCAUUUUCAUAUUUUCAUCACAUAUUAAUCAUACUGUUGCCAUGUAGUUGUUAUGGUAUUGCUAGCUAGGACCCAUGUAAAAUUAGAAAAAAAUUCACACACAAAAAAAAGCAAUUUGUAUGAUUGGGUUGACACAUCAUGGUUGUGACAGAAAAUAUGUGCACAAUGAUGUAUAAUAAUAAAAAUAAUAAUAAAUUCAA
Long non-coding RNA from Megalobrama amblycephala (Wuchang bream), 1042 nucleotides. RefSeq lists it as uncharacterized. Lineage: Eukaryota; Metazoa; Chordata; Actinopteri; Cypriniformes; Xenocyprididae. The record is from RefSeq and is a predicted model, not a curated record. The transcript is spliced from 3 exons.